UGGGUUCCAGCCCUGGGUUCCAGCCCUGGGUUCCAGCUCUGGGUUCCAGCUCCGGGUUCCAGCUC
RNAcentral lists this long non-coding RNA (65 nucleotides) under Zonotrichia albicollis (white-throated sparrow). RNAcentral's name for it is "lncRNA (ENSZALG00000002058.1)". The record is from RNAcentral. Lineage: Eukaryota; Metazoa; Chordata; Aves; Passeriformes; Passerellidae.